GACGAACGCUGGCGGCGUGCUUAACACAUGCAAGUCGAACGGAAAGGCCCUGCUUUUGUGGGGUGCUCGAGUGGCGAACGGGUGAGUAACACGUGAGUAACCUGCCCUUGACUUUGGGAUAACUUCAGGAAACUGGGGCUAAUACCGGAUAGGAGCUCCUGCUGCAUGGUGGGGGUUGGAAAGUUUCGGCGGUUGGGGAUGGACUCGCGGCUUAUCAGCUUGUUGGUGGGGUAGUGGCUUACCAAGGCUUUGACGGGUAGCCGGCCUGAGAGGGUGACCGGCCACGGUGGGGGUGAGGUGAGGCCCGGAGGGCUGGGGGAGGGGGGGGGGGUGAAGAGGGGCCGGGGGGCGGAGGCGUGGCGCGGCAGGGGCGCGGGGGGGGGGGGGGCCGUGGGGUUGUACAGCGUUGGCGCCUGGGACGGAGAGGGAGGGGCGGUAGAGGGUAAAGAGGGAGCGGAGAACGACGUGCCAGCGGACGGGGAAAUAAUGGGACGAGCAAAGGUCCGAAC
RNAcentral lists this ribosomal RNA (509 nucleotides) under uncultured bacterium. RNAcentral describes it as "partial 16S ribosomal RNA". The stretch from base 20 to 329 matches the Rfam family "Bacterial small subunit ribosomal RNA", at positions 47 to 358 of the family's 1533-position model. The record is from RNAcentral.